GACGAACGCUGGCGGCGUGCUUAACACAUGCAAGUCGAACGGAAAGGCCCUGCUUUUGUGGGGUGCUCGAGUGGCGAACGGGUGAGUAACACGUGAGUAACCUGCCCUUGACUUUGGGAUAACUUCAGGGAACUGGGGCUAAUACCGGAUAGGAGCUCCUGCUGCAUGGUGGGGGUUGGAAAGUUUCGGCGGUUGGUGAUGGACUCGCGGCUUAUCAGCUUGUUGGUGGGGUAGUGGCUUACCAAGGCUUUGACGGGUAGCCGGCCUGAGAGGGUGACCGGCCACAUUGGGACUGAGAUACGGCCCAGACUCCUACGGGAGGCAGCAGUGGGGAAUAUUGCACAAUGGGCGGAAGCCUGAUGCAGCAACGCCGCGUGCGGGAUGACGGCCUUCGGGUUGUAAACCGCUUUCGCCUGUGACGAAGCGUGAGUGACGGUAAUGGGUAAAGAAGCACCGGCUAACUACGUG
This 468-nucleotide ribosomal RNA is filed under the name uncultured bacterium. RNAcentral's name for it is "partial 16S ribosomal RNA". It matches the Rfam family "Bacterial small subunit ribosomal RNA", at positions 28 to 507 of the family's 1533-position model. The record is from RNAcentral.